UACGGCGUAAAUGUGUUAAGCACACCGCUAAAUAGAGUUAAAUUUUAAUUAAGCCGUAAAAAGCCAUAAUUUCAAUAAAAAUAAGCAACGAAAGUGACUCUAUAACAGCUGACACACUAUAGCUAAGACCCAAACUGGGAUUAGAUACCCCACAA
RNAcentral lists this ribosomal RNA (155 nucleotides) under Bubalus bubalis (water buffalo). RNAcentral's name for it is "partial small subunit ribosomal RNA". Lineage: Eukaryota; Metazoa; Chordata; Mammalia; Artiodactyla; Bovidae. The record is from RNAcentral.